This 531-nucleotide ribosomal RNA is filed under the name uncultured bacterium. RNAcentral describes it as "bacterial SSU rRNA". It matches the Rfam family "Bacterial small subunit ribosomal RNA", at positions 777 to 1304 of the family's 1533-position model. The record is from RNAcentral.
AAUAGAUACCCGGGUAGUCCACGCCGUAAACGAUGAGUGCUAAGUGUUAGAGGGUUUCCGCCCUUUAGUGCUGCAGCUAACGCAUUAAGCACUCCGCCUGGGGAGUACGGUCGCAAGACUGAAACUCAAAGGAAUUGACGGGGGCCCGCACAAGCGGUGGAGCAUGUGGUUUAAUUCGAAGCAACGCGAAGAACCUUACCAGGUCUUGACAUCCUCUGACAACUCUAGAGAUAGAGCGUUCCCCUUCGGGGGACAGAGUGACAGGUGGUGCAUGGUUGUCGUCAGCUCGUGUCGUGAGAUGUUGGGUUAAGUCCCGCAACGAGCGCAACCCUUGAUCUUAGUUGCCAGCAUUUAGUUGGGCACUCUAAGGUGACUGCCGGUGACAAACCGGAGGAAGGUGGGGAUGACGUCAAAUCAUCAUGCCCCGUUAUGACCUGGGCUACACACGUGCUACAAUGGAUGGUACAAAGGGCUGCAAGACCGCGAGGUCAAGCCAAUCCCAUAAAACCCAUUCUCAGUUCGGAUUGUAGG